GCCAGGACGGCUGGGGGCGCUGUCCACUCAGGACAAAGAAGCAAGUGCCCCGUUUUAGGGGAGCUGCCACCCAGGCUGGCUCAUCCCAUGCCCGUGAGGCGGGGGCAUGUCAGGUUUCCGGGCGGCAGGACAGACUGUGCAGAGCAAUAAAGUUCUUGCUACAGGAAGGUGGGGACAGGAGCCAGGUGGCCUGGGGCGGGCAGGGGCAGGUGUGCCGGGGUGUGGGCCCAGGCCCCCUGUGUGAGGUGGUGGGGCAGGCACUAGCCACUGCCGAAUCCACCCUGUGUCCCUCUGGGCCGGGAGGGGCCCUCAGCUCAGGUGGGGGGGCCCGAGGGUCAUGCAGCCCCAUGCCCACCUCCCGACGGCCCUUGCUUCCCCGACAGGGCUGAGGGUGAUUUGUGGUCCUUUGGGGAGAGGUUGCCAAGGCGGGGACCUGCCUCGGCCCUGCCAGCUCCCCUCAGCACCGGGAAGUGGAGGGACCCACAGGCAGUGCUCGGGGUGUCCAGCCCACGGGGCUCAGUCCAGGGCAGGGCCCAGAGCCCCGGGGGCCCGGGGGGGACCAGCCUGGGGCGCCGCUCCUUUCUCUGGGGCCUGGGUUCCUACGCUGAGUGUGGUGGGGGCAGCCGCACACGGUUGGGACCUCGGCGAGGGGGGGCCCCAGCAGCGCUGUGGCAGGGACCUCUCUGAGGCUGCCCAGUGCCAGUCCGGGGCAGCAAACACCAGCGACUCCGCCUUCUGGAGCCUUCUGAGCUGUGAAGCCAGUGACUGCUGUCCUGAGUUUUCGUUGCUGAAGCCAAAGCCGCUGGGGAAGCCUGUCCUUCCAAGGACAAGUGGGUGCAGGGCCACUGGUGCCUUAACGGGGGCUCCAGAUUCAUCUGAGGAGGCAGGCAUUGCAGGGCCACCUGGCGGGUGCGGGAGCCAGCCUGGCGGGGCCCUGGCGGGGCCCUGCCCUCAUGCACCAAGGCGAGUGGGAAAGGUGUGAGCUCCGAUCACUGUUUCCACUGGAAAAGCAGCCCCAUUUUGAAUGCUGGCUCCAAGCUUUCAAAAAAUUACAAAUAUAUCCAUUUUCCUGAUGAGAGCUCACUCGAUGACAACCGAGACCAAGGGAGGC
RNAcentral lists this long non-coding RNA (1111 nucleotides) under Sus scrofa (pig). RNAcentral describes it as "lncRNA (ENSSSCG00070006000.1)". Lineage: Eukaryota; Metazoa; Chordata; Mammalia; Artiodactyla; Suidae. The record is from RNAcentral.